AACGAACGCUGGCGGCGCGCCUAAUACAUGCAAGUCGAGCGAGAAGACGUAGCAAUACGUUUGUAAAGCGGCGAACGGGUGAGGAAUACAUGGGUAACCUACCCUCGAGUGGGGAAUAACUAGCCGAAAGGUUAGCUAAUACCGCGUACGCUCCUUGGACUUCGGUUCAGGGAGGAAAGCGAUACCGUGGGUAUCGCGCUCUUGGAUGGGCUCAUGUCCUAUCAGCUUGUUGGUGAGGUAACGGCUCGCCAAGGCUUCGACGGGUAGCUGGUCUGAGAGGACGAUCAGCCACACUGGCACUGCGACACGGGCCAGACUCCUACGGGAGGCAGCAGUAAGGAAUAUUGCGACAAGUGGGACGAAA
RNAcentral lists this ribosomal RNA (364 nucleotides) under uncultured bacterium. Its description in RNAcentral is "bacterial SSU rRNA". It matches the Rfam family "Bacterial small subunit ribosomal RNA", at positions 29 to 380 of the family's 1533-position model. The record is from RNAcentral.